RNAcentral lists this ribosomal RNA (429 nucleotides) under uncultured bacterium. RNAcentral describes it as "bacterial SSU rRNA". It matches the Rfam family "Bacterial small subunit ribosomal RNA", at positions 355 to 776 of the family's 1533-position model. The record is from RNAcentral.
UGGGGAAUCUUCCGCAAUGGACGAAAGUCUGACGGAGCAACGCCGCGUGAGUGAAGAAGGUUUUCGGAUCGUAAAGCUCUGUCUUCAGGGACGAAUGUGCAGGAUGUAAAUAAUGUCUUGUAAUGACGGUACCUGAGGAGGAAGCCACGGCUAACUACGUGCCAGCAGCCGCGGUAAUACGUAGGUGGCAAGCGUUGUCCGGAUUUAUUGGGCGUAAAGCGCGCGCAGGCGGGAUGGUAAGUCUGUCUUAAAAGUUCGGGGCUCAACCCCGUGAUGGGACAGAAACUAUCAUUCUUGAGUAUCGGAGAGGAAAGUGGAAUUCCUAGUGUAGCGGUGAAAUGCGUAGAUAUUAGGAGGAACACCAGUGGCGAAGGCGACUUUCUGGACGAUGUCUGACGCUGAGGCGCGAAAGCCAGGGUAGUGAACGGG